AUUCUGAUGUGGACUUUUUUUCUUAGAAGUUUACAAGGAAAGGGGAAAUGUCUGAAAUGGAGAUUGCACAAUCCUGUCUUGAAGCAGAAGACUCAGCUAGAGCACAUCUGGAAACACCUGGCACUCCUCAAUAGAAUUCAAAUGCUAUUUUAAAAGGUAGUAUGGUCCUUUCUACUUCCCGUUGAUCUGGGUCAAGGAUUUGGGCAGUGCAGCCAAUGCAUUGAUGGGGAGGAGCCCAGGAUGUGGCUAGUGCUGCGGCUGUGUUGGUAACCUUAAUGGGACGGAGCAAAUCAGGGAGUACACUGAAGAUAAUGACAGGCACCAUUCUUGAGAUGUAAAAUCUGAGCUGCAACACUGAACAAAAGCUGUACUUGCCAGCCAGCAAAGAUGCUACCACUCUGCACAACAGAUAAAACCCAUACAUAUAGGGAAGUCAAAAGAGUCUUUAAGCUACAGUGUUUGAGAGGCUGUUUGUCUCUGAUGGAAAAUUAAGAAAAUGCUCAUCUUCAAUUACAAUGUGGUUCCUACAAAGUAAAGGGCUGUUGUCCUCUCUUCAGACCUGUGCUGCUUCUGCGCACUAGCCCUGUAGACCAUCAAGGCCUAAAAAUAGCUGCUAGAUUCAAUGAGACAUGAAGCUGACAGAAAUGGCAUCAAGCUAAUUGGCAACAAACUCUAUGAAACCUACUCAGGAAAUCAUAUUUUUAAGCUGAACACCAAGUGGAUUCUUGUUUGAAUAAAUAGAGUCCAUUUCUAAGAAGAUGUGGUUCGAACAUACAGAGCUACAUAAUAUGAGUAAAAUAGGACCUAACAGUAGUGUUCUCCAGCAUUGCUCUGCCUUUCCUUUUCUGGAUGUAACAACAUUACUAAGAAAGGAAGAAAAAGCAAAAAUCUGCUCUCGGGGAGAUUCCAGAAUGUUGGAAAGCCCCAAAUGGAAGUCUCUGCUUUGGUUACAGGACAUAAGGUUUAAUAAAUAAAAAGAUGCUCAUCUGGGAUGCUGCACCAAUUAUCAUGUACUAAAUAAGGUUACCUACUUCACUCUCCAGGUAGAAAUGUCUAUCAUAAGCAUGUGCCACAGAAGGUCUCUCAAGUAUCAUUAUUGGCUGUGUUGAAUUUUGUUUUUAGUUCUCUUUUAUAAGGUCUGUAGUCUUACUUUCAGUGAGGAAGUGUUUUCUCAGGUUCUCAAGAAAGUAACAAAAUGCCAGCAUUGUCAAGGUCACCAUUGCCACUGAAUUAUCUUACUGUCUGAUUAUUCCAUCUUCCUCUGCAUCAUAUUAGCCUGAUGACUACAUUCUAAUUAUUUAAAGCGUUAUGUAAAUCAAAGCAGUAAAUGUAAUUUCUAGUCUUACUAGAUAUCAUGUACAUUAGGUCGAAUAACUCUAGAAAUGUCGUCAUAAUCAUGUCAUGCCUAAUGAUGACCUACUCAGCCCCUGCCAACAUCAUUCAAUUACUCAUUUCAGUAUUGAUUUUUCUCAUGCCUCUCUUCGUGGCAUUUAAACAGCCCUCACAUCUCCCCUUUUACUGAGGUGUAAUGUUGUAUAAUGACAGAGAUGCUUUGCUUCCCAGAUUCAUAAUGUUACACUCUGUUUCAAAUCCUUUUGGAGACAAAUUGGGGAAUCAAUAUAUAAAUAAUGACACACUUAUUUUUAAUUAAAAUCACUGCUUUCACAGAAAUGGUAUAUUAAAA
This 1684-nucleotide long non-coding RNA is filed under the name Homo sapiens (human). Its description in RNAcentral is "HSALNT0138954". The record is from RNAcentral. Lineage: Eukaryota; Metazoa; Chordata; Mammalia; Primates; Hominidae.